RNAcentral lists this long non-coding RNA (918 nucleotides) under Fukomys damarensis (Damara mole-rat). Its description in RNAcentral is "lncRNA (ENSFDAG00000030349.1)". The record is from RNAcentral. Lineage: Eukaryota; Metazoa; Chordata; Mammalia; Rodentia; Bathyergidae.
AGAGAAUGCAACUAGAAAGUGAGCUGGGAAGGAUGGAAACGCUCGUUCCGGCUAGGAGAUCUUUACUGAAAGACCGGAAGACUGCGUGACAUGCGGAUACGUACGAAGCUCGCGCUCCGAGGCCGCGGGAGAGAAAGAGCGGAACGGAAGAUCUGAAGCAAUCGCCCCAGCGGCACAACGCGGAGCUUCGCGAAUGGACAGCAGGGAGGAGGGAGGCCGCCGGGUUUCCCGCUAGGACAGCCCCGUGGGACAGUGCAGUGGAGAACAGGGCAGGGGGUUCACAGAGAGUCCUGACGGCCCGGAUUGCUCACUCCCCAUUGUGUUAUUUCCUUUAUUACAAGAGGUGGGAAGAGCAGCAACAAAAGUGCAACAGUGGGAAAUUUCAAGGCACAAUGGGGCCUGGAAGCGGUGAAUGAGGUCAUGAAUGUAAGGCUUGUGUCGGCCAGGGAUGGCAGAGUCAGCGUGCGUCCCUGCUCAGGGGUCAAGGCGAGGAGCUGGGCCCAGCGAGGAGAGAGGAGGGGUUUUCAGCAGCAGAGCAAAGUCAUGCGCCUCGCCCUACUGUUGGAGGGAGAGUGCCGGAGUAGUGUCCCACUGUGACAGAAUGAAGCUGUAGACCAAGGAGGUAUGAUAAACGUUAACACAGGACUUGGAGAGGAACAUGGUGAAUUUUAUCCUGAUAACUAAGGACCAAAAAAGAAAGACAAAGGAAACAAGGUGAGGGGAGAAAGGGAGACACACCUGAAUGCAGUGAGAACGCCUGAUCAUGUUAAUGAAGACCUUAGGACUUCAUCAAUGAGACAUGAGACCACAGCUUUCGAUGUCAUAACUUUGUAAAACAACAGUAAUAAAAAUGUUUCAAAUGGUAUCUGUUAAAAUUAAGAGUGAUUCAAUUAUGGGGACAACAACCAUACAGAAUUA